RNAcentral lists this ribosomal RNA (459 nucleotides) under Cotesia vestalis (diamondback moth parasitoid). Its description in RNAcentral is "SSU rRNA". It matches the Rfam family "Eukaryotic small subunit ribosomal RNA", at positions 1031 to 1475 of the family's 1831-position model. Lineage: Eukaryota; Metazoa; Arthropoda; Insecta; Hymenoptera; Braconidae. The record is from RNAcentral.
CAGAUGCCAGCUAGCGAUCCGCCGAUGUUCCUCCGAUGACUCGGCGGGCAGCUUCCGGGAAACCAAAGCUUUUGGGUUCCGGGGGAAGUAUGGUUGCAAAGCUGAAACUUAAAGGAAUUGACGGAAGGGCACCACCAGGAGUGGAGCCUGCGGCUUAAUUUGACUCAACACGGGAAAUCUCACCAGGCCCGGACACCGGAAGGAUUGACAGAUUGAUAGCUCUUUCUUGAUUCGGUGGGUGGUGGUGCAUGGCCGUUCUUAGUUGGUGGAGCGAUUUGUCUGGUUAAUUCCGAUAACGAACGAGACUCUAGCCUGCUAAAUAGGCGUAUUUUGGUAUCUUGAAAGGCCCUUGGUUUUCGGAUCAAGUGGUUUUUACUACCGACGUACAAUAUUAUCUUCUUAGAGGGACAGGCGGCUUCUAGCCGCACGAGAUUGAGCAAUAACAGGUCUGUGUGUUUA